This 253-nucleotide ribosomal RNA is filed under the name uncultured bacterium. RNAcentral describes it as "partial 16S ribosomal RNA". It matches the Rfam family "Bacterial small subunit ribosomal RNA", at positions 524 to 776 of the family's 1533-position model. The record is from RNAcentral.
UACGUAGGGUGCAAGCGUUGUCCGGAAUUAUUGGGCGUAAAGAGCUCGUAGGCGGCCAACUAAGUCGGAUGUGAAAUCCCCAGGCUCAACCUGGGAACUGCAUCCGAUACUGGAUGGCUUGAAUCCGGGAGAGGGAUGCAGAAUUCCAGGUGUAGCGGUGAAAUGCGUAGAUAUCUGGAGGAAUACCGGUGGCGAAGGCGGCAUCCUGGACCGGCAUUGACGCUGAGGAGCGAAAGCUAGGGGAGCAAACGGG